CACGGGGCCGCGGAGUCGGGUCCCCUUUUCCUUCCUCCCGUCGCAGCCCCUCUGUCUGGCCCGUGGGAGUCUAGCCCGCAAGGUAUUCUCCCCACCUCCCCAGGGGCUCCCCAGAGGUCCCCGAGAGCAAGGUCGGCUCCGCGGGCAGGGGCUCCGCGGAAGACCCGCGGCCUUACUCAGGGGCGUCACUAGGUGGCAGCACGAGCCCAACAGCGCACCUCAGGCCUUAACCCUACACCCCAUCCCCACCGCGGCCCAGCACCCUUGUGGCCACUGGGAGGACCCUGCGAGACCCGGAGCAAGGCCUGGCCCAUCAGUUUCCUAGCUUCGCGAUGGGGACGUGUAGGCGACCAGACUGGACACACGCAUGGUGGCACGAGGGCCUCUCCGGAGAUGUGAUGUCAGACAAGGAAAAGCACACCAGAUCUCUUGGCUUUGUGCCUUUCCCACCCCUGAAGAGGGCAAGGAGGUGGGAGGGGCCCUGGAGGCCCGCCGUUGCGGAGACACUGCCAGUCCUAGGAGUACCGAGCGCUCGGGUCUCUGGUCCCCUCAAAAGCUGAAUGGCCCCUGGAGGUGGGAAGAAUUUCGGACUCCAGAAGAGACACAGACCACUGAGAACCAAAAGGGUUGGGUCCAGAUUCCGUUUCACAGAUGAGCAAAGUGAGAAUCAGGGAGGUCAAAGCAACAGCAAGUCAGAGGCACAGCGCGGGUUCCCUGUGGGUCUCUCUGACCCUGAAACAGCUGGCUUCCAUUGCCCAACCAACAGAAUGGGUCCUGUUCCUGUCCUCUGGCCAUGGCCGCUCUCAACAGCCAGCCCCGGGGACCAACCCUGGGAACUGAGACACGACCCAGCACAGAGGCCACGCGGGCGGCUACGCAAACCUGACAAUAAAACUCCAACCCGCCCGC
Long non-coding RNA from Suricata suricatta (meerkat), 909 nucleotides. RefSeq lists it as uncharacterized. The record is from RefSeq and is a predicted model, not a curated record. Lineage: Eukaryota; Metazoa; Chordata; Mammalia; Carnivora; Herpestidae. The transcript is spliced from 3 exons.